This 301-nucleotide ribosomal RNA is filed under the name uncultured bacterium. RNAcentral describes it as "partial 16S ribosomal RNA". It matches the Rfam family "Bacterial small subunit ribosomal RNA", at positions 509 to 807 of the family's 1533-position model. The record is from RNAcentral.
CAGUCGCCGCGGUAAUACGAAGGGUGCAAGCGUUAAUCGGAAUUACUGGGCGUAAAGCGUGCGUAGGCGGUGAGUUAAGUCUGCUGUGAAAUCCCCGGGCUCAACCUGGGAAUGGCAGUGGAUACUGGCUCGCUAGAGUGUGUCAGAGGAUGGUGGAAUUCCCGGUGUAGCGGUGAAAUGCGUAGAGAUCGGGAGGAACAUCAGUGGCGAAGGCGGCCAUCUGGGACAACACUGACGCUGAGGCACGAAAGCGUGGGUAGCAAACAGGAUUAGAUACCCCUGUAGUCCCUGUCUCUUAUAC